RNAcentral lists this ribosomal RNA (119 nucleotides) under Pteropus alecto (black flying fox). Lineage: Eukaryota; Metazoa; Chordata; Mammalia; Chiroptera; Pteropodidae. The record is from RNAcentral.
GUCCACGGCCACGCCACCCUGAACAAGCGUGAUCUCGUCUGAUCUCGGGAGCUAAGCAGGGUUGGGCCUGGUUAGUACUUGGAUGGGAGACCGCCUACGAAGACCAAGUGUUGUAGGCG